Molecule: ribosomal RNA, 497 nt
Filed under: uncultured bacterium
Lineage: Bacteria
Description: partial 16S ribosomal RNA
Rfam family: Bacterial small subunit ribosomal RNA
Source: RNAcentral
GAUGAACGCUGGCGGCGUGCCUAAUACAUGCAAGUCGAGCGAACGGACGAGAAGCUUGCUUCUCUGAUGUUAGCGGCGGACGGGUGAGUAACACGUGGAUAACCUACCUAUAAGACUGGGAUAACUUCGGGAAACCGGGGCUAAUACCGGAUAAUAUUUUGAACCGCAUGGUUCAAAAGUGAAAGACGGUCUUGCUGUCACUUAUAGAUGGAUCCGCGCUGCAUUAGCUAGUUGGUAAGGUAACGGCUUACCAAGGCAACGAUGCAUAGCCGACCUGAGAGGGUGAUCGGCCACACUGGAACUGAGACACGGUCCAGACUCCUACGGGAGGCAGCAGUAGGGAAUCUUCCGCAAAGGGCGAAAGCCUGACGGAGCAACGCCGCGUGAGUGAUGAAGGUCUUCGGAUCGUAAAACUCUGUUAUUAGGGAAGAACAUAUGUGUAAGUAACUGUGUACAUCUUGACGGUACCUAAUCAGAAAGCCACGGCUAACUACGUG